Molecule: long non-coding RNA, 1487 nt
Filed under: Marmota monax (woodchuck)
Lineage: Eukaryota; Metazoa; Chordata; Mammalia; Rodentia; Sciuridae
Source: RNAcentral
GUCUUACACAAGCCUCUUAUUUACCUAGAAGGAAAUGGAGACACUGAGAAUUUAAGUGAUUUGCCCAAAGGCAGUUAAUAGUGCUGGGACCAGAAUUCAGAUCUCCUAGUGCCCAAAGCCUUGAGCAUCCUAAACAUGCACUUUAACACUGAGCUACACUUCCAGCCACCAGGCAAAAACACUUUAUAUUUCCUUACUUUGCUUUUUGUGGCAUUACCUUUUGCAAGUGGGUUUUUUUUUCAGACUAUUUGAUGCAAAUUUAUCCUAUUUUAAACACUAGGUCUUUAACUCUUUUAAAUAAUCCAAUAACUCAAACCCCAAACAGCAUACACAUUAAAAUUAACAUUUUUCUAACAUUGAGGCCUCUUAGCAUUUCCCUAAAAUUAAUGGAUGGCACAUGAAAUUCCAAAUUCUCUGAAUGUCACAAAAUCUGAACCUUGCAUUCAUGUUUGAAACACAAUGUGUUUUCACUAUUUUAUUUCUGUUUCUUGUCAUAUUAAAACUCUUAACAUGCUUCUCAAAAAGGGGGGACAUAUGUAUUAAAUAAGAAAAUGCUGUCAUGUAGAACACAGAUGGCAGGGCAUUUUUGGCAGAAAGGAAGUUUAACAACGCGUUUUACUGAUUUACUUGGAAAACUAAUGUGCAUGAAUGUUCAAGUUAAGCAGUAAGAAAUUAAUUGCUAUUUUACAAUAAUCAGUUCAUUUUUUCCCUAAUCUAAUUUAGCCCUAUUUCCAUAACAUUAUAACAGGGAAAGGGAUCACAUGUGAUUGUAAAUAAACAACUAAGAGUGUCCAGGAUAGGAAUAGAAGAAUGGAGGAAGAAGAAACUGCUAGCAUUUUAUGGUAACUAACCAUGUUGCUUGUCAUUGAUAAAAAUCAUUAACAAGAGGUAAUGACUGUGUAGUUAGAGUGCAUGUGUUUUUAAUAUGAUACAUAGAGUCAUUGACUGUGUCCGUUUGGGUAUAAAAACAGCGGGCAAGAGUUUAUCAAAUUUCAGAUUUGGCUGACUCAGAGGGCCCACCCAUAUGCAAAGGGUCCUGUGCCAGAAAGUAAGCAUAGAUGAAUGGUGAAUAUUUCUCCAGGAUGUCAGGUUUCUAUUUUGUGGUAAAUACAGCCUUACACACACACUGAAGUAUUCUGUAUUCUAAGGUUUAACAUUUAAAAAUGGAAUUUCUAAUCAGCUGAUCACUGAUGUAGUGCUGGAGGAAAAUUUGGUUUGUGUCAUAUGAUGCCAUAUGUACUUUAAAUAAUUUUGUGUUUCAACAACAAACCAAAAACAGAACAUUUGACAGUUAUGUUGCAUGUGAGAUCCAGAAGGCUCCAACCUGGAAAAACUCUUCCCACAAUCCAACAUUAGGCUCCAUAAAAUCUUGCUGGGCAUGGUGGCACAUGCCUGAAAUUCCAGCAACUUAGGAACUGAGGCAGGAUAAUCACAAGUUCCAGGUCACCCUCAGUAAGUUAGUGAGGCCCUAAGCAAUUUAGCAAGAC